RNAcentral lists this ribosomal RNA (494 nucleotides) under uncultured bacterium. Its description in RNAcentral is "partial 16S ribosomal RNA". It matches the Rfam family "Bacterial small subunit ribosomal RNA", at positions 28 to 507 of the family's 1533-position model. The record is from RNAcentral.
GACGAACGCUGGCGGCGUGCUUAACACAUGCAAGUCGAACGGUGAAGCGCCUUCCUUUUUGGUGGGUGUGGGUGAGUGGCGAACGGGUGAGUAACACGUGAGUAACCUGCCCCCUUCUUCUGGAUAACCGCAUGAAAGUGUGGCUAAUACGGGAUAUUCUGGGUCUGUCGCAUGAUGGGUCUGGGAAAGAUAUUGUUUCGGUGGGGGAUGGGCUCGCGGCCUAUCAGCUUGUUGGUGGGGUGAUGGCCUACCAAGGCGGUGACGGGUAGCCGGCCUGAGAGGGUGGACGGUCACACUGGGACUGAGACACGGCCCAGACUCCGACGGGAGGCAGCAGUGGGGAAUAUUGCACAAUGGGCGCAAGCCUGAUGCAGCGACGCCGCGUGAGGGAUGGAGGCCUUCGGGUUGUGAACCUCUUUCGCCAGUGAAGCAGGCCUGCCUCGUUUGUGGGUGGGUUGACGGUAGCUGGAUAAGAAGCGCCGGCUAACUACGUG